This 468-nucleotide ribosomal RNA is filed under the name uncultured bacterium. RNAcentral describes it as "partial 16S ribosomal RNA". It matches the Rfam family "Bacterial small subunit ribosomal RNA", at positions 28 to 507 of the family's 1533-position model. The record is from RNAcentral.
GACGAACGCUGGCGGCGUGCUUAACACAUGCAAGUCGAACGGAAAGGCCUGCAGCUUGCUGCGGGUACUCGAGUGGCGAACGGGUGAGUAACACGUGGGUGAUCUGCCUUGCACUUCGGGAUAAGCUUGGGAAACUGGGUCUAAUGCCGGAUAGGACAGCUGUUUAGUGUCAGCUGUGGAAAGUUUUUUCGGUGCUAGAUGGGCUCGCGGCCUAUCAGCUUGUUGGUGGGGUAAUGGCCUACCAAGGCGUCGACGGGUAGCCGGCCUGAGAGGGUGUACGGCCACAUUGGGACUGAGAUACGGCCCAGACUCCUACGGGAGGCAGCAGUGGGGAUUAUUGCACAAUGGGCGGAAGCCUGAUGCAGCGACGCCGCGUGGGGGAUGAAGGCCUUCGGGUUGUAAACUCCUUUCGACAGGGACGAAGCUUUUGUGACGGUACCUGUAGAAGAAGCACCGGCUAACUACGUG